GUGGGUAUAACUUAGUGAUAAAGCAUAUGCUUAGUACUCACGAGGUCCCGGGUUCAAUUCCCAGUACCUCCA
RNAcentral lists this transfer RNA (72 nucleotides) under Camelus bactrianus (Bactrian camel). It matches the Rfam family "tRNA". Rfam says of the family: Transfer RNA (tRNA) molecules are approximately 80 nucleotides in length. Their secondary structure includes four short double-helical elements and three loops (D, anti-codon, and T loops). RNAcentral also lists the same sequence under 3 other names. Lineage: Eukaryota; Metazoa; Chordata; Mammalia; Artiodactyla; Camelidae. The record is from Rfam by way of RNAcentral.